RNAcentral lists this ribosomal RNA (387 nucleotides) under uncultured bacterium. RNAcentral's name for it is "bacterial SSU rRNA". It matches the Rfam family "Bacterial small subunit ribosomal RNA", at positions 28 to 416 of the family's 1533-position model. The record is from RNAcentral.
AUUGAACGCUGGCGGCAUGCUUUACACAUGCAAGUCGAGCGGCAGCGCGGGGGCAACCCUGGCGGCGAGCGGCGAACGGGUGAGGAAUACAUCGGAACGUACCCCGGAGUGGGGGAUAACGCCGCGAAAGCGGCGCUAAUACCGCAUAUGCUCUGUGGAGGAAAGUGGGGGACCCGCAAGGGCCUCACGCUCUGGGCGCGGCCGAUGUCCGAUUAGCUAGUUGGUGAGGUAAUGGCUCACCAAGGCGACGAUCGGUAGCUGGUCUGAGAGGAUGAUCAGCCACACUGGGACUGAGACACGGCCCAGACUCCUACGGGAGGCAGCAGUGGGGAAUUUUGGACAAUGGGGCAACCCUGAUCCAGCCAUGCCGCGUGCGGGAAGAAGGCC